This 244-nucleotide ribosomal RNA is filed under the name uncultured bacterium. RNAcentral describes it as "partial 16S ribosomal RNA". It matches the Rfam family "Bacterial small subunit ribosomal RNA", at positions 1 to 215 of the family's 1533-position model. The record is from RNAcentral.
GUGUCAACGGCGAGUUUGAUCUUGGCUCAGGACGAACGCUGGCGGCGUGCCUAAUACAUGCAAGUCGAGCGAGCUUGCCUAGAUGAUUUUAGUGCUUGCACUAAAUGAAACUAGAUACAAGCGAGCGGCGGACGGGUGAGUAACACGUGGGUAACCUGCCCAAGAGACUGGGAUAACACCUGGAAACAGAUGCUAAUACCGGAUAACAACACUAGACGCAUGUCUAGAGUUUGAAAGAUGGUUC